GAUGAACGCUGGCGGCGCGCCUAACACAUGCAAGUCGAACGGUUAAAGCCCCUUCGGGGGUGCAUAAAGUGGCGAACGGCUGAGUAACACGUGGGCAACCUGCCCCUCGCACCGGGACAGCCUCGGGAAACCGUGGUUAAUACCGGAUACUCCCGCGCCCCCGCAUGGGGGCGCGGGGAAAGCCCAGACGGCGAGGGAUGGGCCCGCGGCCUGUUAGCUCGUUGGCGGGGUAACGGCCCACCAAGGCGAUGAUGGGUAGCCGGGUUGAGAGACCGACCGGCCAGAUUGGGACUGAGACACGGCCCAGACUCCUACGGGAGGCAGCAGUGGGGAAUCUUGCGCAAUGGGCGGAAGCCUGACGCAGCGACGCCGCGUGCGGGAAAGGAGGCCUUUCGGGUCGUAAAACCGCUUCAGCAGGGAACGAGG
Molecule: ribosomal RNA, 426 nt
Filed under: Olsenella uli
Lineage: Bacteria; Bacillati; Actinomycetota; Coriobacteriia; Coriobacteriales; Atopobiaceae
Description: bacterial SSU rRNA
Rfam family: Bacterial small subunit ribosomal RNA
Source: RNAcentral